GGCGUAGGCGGUUUUGCAAGUUGGAUGUGAAAGCCCUCGGCUCAACCGAGGAACUGCAUUCAAAACUGCAGAACUUGAGUAUAGUAGAGGGAAGCGGAAUUCCUGGUGUAGCGGUGAAAUGCCUUGAUAUCAGGAGGAACAUCUGUGGCGAAGGCGGCUUCCUGGGCUAAUACUGACGCUGAGGCCCGAAAGCAGUCGGGUAGCAAACG
Molecule: ribosomal RNA, 209 nt
Filed under: uncultured bacterium
Lineage: Bacteria
Description: partial 16S ribosomal RNA
Rfam family: Bacterial small subunit ribosomal RNA
Source: RNAcentral